RNAcentral lists this ribosomal RNA (468 nucleotides) under uncultured bacterium. RNAcentral describes it as "partial 16S ribosomal RNA". It matches the Rfam family "Bacterial small subunit ribosomal RNA", at positions 28 to 507 of the family's 1533-position model. The record is from RNAcentral.
GACGAACGCUGGCGGCGUGCUUAGCACAUGCAAGUCGAACGGAAAGGCCCUGCUUUUGUGGGGUGCUCGAGUGGCGAACGGGUGAGCAACACGUGAGUAACCUGCCCUUGACUUUGGGAUAACUUCAGGAAACUGGGGCUAAUACCGGAUAGGAGCUCCUGCUGCAUGGUGGGGGUUGGAAAGUUUCGGCGGUUGGGGAUGGACUCGCGGCUUAUCAGCUUGUUGGUGGGGUAGUGGCUUACCAAGGCUUUGACGGGUAGCCGGCCUGAGAGGGUGACCGGCCACAUUGGGACUGAGAUACGGCCCAGACUCCUACGGGAGGCAGCAGUGGGGAAUAUUGCACAAUGGGCGGAAGCCUGAUGCAGCAACGCCGCGUGCGGGAUGACGGCCUUCGGGUUGUAAACCGCUUUCGCCUGUGACGAAGCGUGAGUGACGGUAAUGGGUAAAGAAGCACCGGCUAACUACGUG